This 450-nucleotide ribosomal RNA is filed under the name uncultured bacterium. Its description in RNAcentral is "partial 16S ribosomal RNA". It matches the Rfam family "Bacterial small subunit ribosomal RNA", at positions 354 to 796 of the family's 1533-position model. The record is from RNAcentral.
GUGGGGAAUAUUGGACAAUGGGCGAAAGCCUGAUCCAGCCAUGCCGCGUGUGUGAAGAAGGUCUUCGGAUUGUAAAGCACUUUAAGUUGGGAGGAAGGGCAGUAAGUUAAUACCUUGCUGUUUUGACGUUACCGACAGAAUAAGCACCGGCUAACUUCGUGCCAGCAGCCGCGGUAAUACGAAGGGUGCAAGCGUUAAUCGGAAUUACUGGGCGUAAAGCGCGCGUAGGUGGUUUUGUAAGUUGGAGGUUAAAUCCCCGGGCUCAACCUGGGAACUGACUCCAAAGCUGCAUGACUAGAGUACGGUAGAGGGUAGUGGAAUUUCCUGUGUAGCGGUGAAAUGCGUAGAUAUAGGAAGGAACACCAGUGGCGAAGGCGACUACCUGGACUGAUACUGACACUGAGGUGCGAAAGCGUGGGGAGCAAACAGGAUUAGAAACCCCAGUAGUCC